Molecule: long non-coding RNA, 896 nt
Filed under: Mus musculus (house mouse)
Lineage: Eukaryota; Metazoa; Chordata; Mammalia; Rodentia; Muridae
Description: long non-coding RNA chr7:10300484-10301380
Source: RNAcentral
ACAAUGGCUUCCAGAGACCUGACCAUUGGGAUCUUUUUCCUGUCUCAGACUAUGCUGGGAAUGCUGGGGAACUCAGCCUUGCUAUGUUGUUUUAUCAUUACUGACUUCUCUGGGAUCAAGACAAGGCCUAUAGACCUAAUUGUCAAACACCUGACUUGGGCCAACAUCAUGGUUGUUAUAUGUAAAGGAGUCCCUCAGACAAUGACUACUUUUGGUCAUACAUAUUUUCUAGACGAUAUUACAUGUAAAAUUGUCUUUUAUUUGCAUAGAGUUGCAAGGGGAUUUUCCCUUGGUUCCACAUACCUGUUGAAUGUCUUUCAGGCUAUCACUAUUAGCUCCUGCAUUUCCAGAUCUGCAAAGCUCAAGGCUAGAAUCCCCAAAGUCAUUGGUCCUUCCCUGGUCUUGUGUUGGUCACUGUGUAUGCUUAUAAACAUCUUCAUAAUCAUGACAGUGACUGGUAUGAGAGAUAAAGGAAAUCUUACUGAAUUUAGACAAUUAUUGUACUGUUUAGCAGUAAAUAAUGCUAAACAAACUUACAGAGUGUAUGUUAUCAUAUUGGCCUCCAGUGAUGUCAUGUGUUUGGGACUCAUGAUGUUGGCCAGUGGCUCCAUGUUGUUGAUAUUAGCCAAGCAUAGGCAGAAGGUGCAGUAUAUUCACAGAUCCUUGGCUACUAAGUCAUUUCAUGAGACCAAAGCCACACAAAGUAUUAUUAUCCUAGUGAGCAGUUUUGUAAUUCUUUAUGGAAUUUCAUCUUAAUGAUGUAUUUUUCUUACCAAGAUAGAAAAGAUACAUGGCUUGUCAAGGUAAAUGUAGCCAUGAGUGCAUGCUUUCCAGCACUCUGCCCCUUUCUACUCAUCAAAACUAUACUAGGGUUUUUAAGCUCUGUAGUACUUAGG